RNAcentral lists this unclassified non-coding RNA (241 nucleotides) under Melitaea cinxia (Glanville fritillary). RNAcentral's name for it is "misc RNA ENSMCXG00005004276.1". The record is from RNAcentral. Lineage: Eukaryota; Metazoa; Arthropoda; Insecta; Lepidoptera; Nymphalidae.
CAAAAGACCAAUACGAAUGAGACGACUGAAGCGAAAUAGAAAAAUAAAAAUUCCAACUACGAAAAUAACAACCGAAUACAAUACGGAGUCGUUCACCGAAUCAAAUGUCUAUCGAGUAACUGACUCCUACAAAAUAAAGCCUACAAUACCAAUACUGCACGAGCCGUCAUGGAGAUCGAUGCUGAAUUAGAGAAACUUGCAAAAACCUACUCUAUUUCAGUUUGUAAAAGAAUUAAAGUAA